This 852-nucleotide ribosomal RNA is filed under the name uncultured Bacteroidota bacterium. Its description in RNAcentral is "bacterial SSU rRNA". It matches the Rfam family "Bacterial small subunit ribosomal RNA", at positions 484 to 1340 of the family's 1533-position model. The record is from RNAcentral. Lineage: Bacteria; Pseudomonadati; Bacteroidota.
GAAUAAGCAUCGGCUAACUCCGUGCCAGCAGCCGCGGUAAUACGGAGGAUGCAAGCGUUAUCCGGAUUUAUUGGGUUUAAAGGGUGCGUAGGCGGGAUAUUAAGUCAGUGGUGAAAUCCUGCAGCUUAACUGUAGAACUGCCAUUGAUACUGAUAUUCUUGAGUAUAGUUGAAGUGGGCGGAAUGUGUAAUGUAGCGGUGAAAUGCUUAGAUAUUACACAGAACACCGAUUGCGUAGGCAGCUCGCUAAACUAAUACUGACGCUGAGGCACGAAAGCGUGGGGAGCGAACAGGAUUAGAUACCCUGGUAGUCCACGCUGUAAACUAUGAUCACCCGUUGUUGGCAAUACACAGUCAGCGACUGAGCGAAAGCAUUAAGUGAUCCACCUGGGGAGUACGGCCGCAAGGUUGAAACUCAAAGGAAUUGACGGGGGCCCGCACAAGCGGAGGAACAUGUGGUUUAAUUCGAUGAUACGCGAGGAACCUUACCUGGGCUUAAAUGCAGAACGACGUCCGCCGAAAGGCAGAUUCCCUUCGGGGCGGACUGCAAGGUGCUGCAUGGUUGUCGUCAGCUCGUGCCGUGAGGUGUCGGGUUAAGUCCCAUAACGAGCGCAACCCUUAUUGUUAGUUGCCAGCGGGUAAUGCCGGGGACUCUAACGAAACUGCCGGUGUAAACCGAGAGGAAGGUGGGGAUGACGUCAAAUCAGCACGGCCCUUACGUCCAGGGCUACACACGUGUUACAAUGGCCGGUACAAAGGGCAGCUACCUGGUAACAGGAUGCUAAUCUCGAAAGCCGGUCUCAGUUCGGAUUGAAGUCUGCAACUCGACCUCAUGAAAUUGGAUUCGCUAGUA